GACGAACGCUGGCGGCGUGCUUAAUACAUGCAAGUCGAACGGACCGACUCCGGUAGUUUUCUACUGGGAAUGGCUAGUGGCGGACGGGUGAGUAAUGCGUGGGCAAUCUGUCCCUAAGUCCUGGCUAACAGAGCCAAAGUCCUGCUCCGACCGGUUACUCUUAACCAGCCGCUCGGUUGGUAAAGGGAAGGGUACGCUUAGGGAUGAGUCCUCGUCCCAUUAGCUAGUUGGUGAGGUAACGGCCCACCAAGGCAACGAAGGGUAGACGGCCAGAGAGAGUGGACGGCGACACUGGGACUGAGACGCAGCCGGGACUCCUACGGGAGGGGGCAGUAGGGGAUGUACGAAAGUGGGGGGAGGCAUGACCGAGCUACGCCGCGUAAACGAUGAAGGUAGUCAAGUCGUAAUCCGUAGUCAACGAGGACGAUAAUGACGGUACUCAAGGAGAAAGCCCCGGCUAACUACGUG
Molecule: ribosomal RNA, 468 nt
Filed under: uncultured bacterium
Lineage: Bacteria
Description: partial 16S ribosomal RNA
Rfam family: Bacterial small subunit ribosomal RNA
Source: RNAcentral